ACAAGCGGUGGAGUAUGUGGUUAAUUCGAUGCAACGCGAAGAACUUACCUGGUCUUGACAUCCCGGAGACCCUUAGGAAACUAGGGGUGCUUCCAUCUGGAAGAAUCUGGAGACAGGUGCUGCAUGGCUGUCGUCAGCUCGUGUCGUGAGAUGUUGGGUUAAGUCCCGCAACGAGCGCAACCCUUGCCUUUAGUUGCCAGCAGUUCGGCUGGGCACUCUAAAGGGACUGCCGGUGUUAAACCGGAGGAAGGUGGGGGAUGACGUCAAGUCCUCAUGGCCUUUAUGACCAGGGCUACACACGUACUACAAUGGCCGAUACAAAGGGCAGCGACACUGCGAGGUGAAGCCAAUCCCGUAAAAUCGGUCUCAGUCCGGAUUGGAGUCUGCAACUCGACUCCAUGAAGUUGGAAUCGCUAGUAAUCGUGGAUCAGCAUGCCACGGUGAAUACGUUCCCGGGCCUU
RNAcentral lists this ribosomal RNA (461 nucleotides) under uncultured Desulfobulbus sp. Its description in RNAcentral is "bacterial SSU rRNA". It matches the Rfam family "Bacterial small subunit ribosomal RNA", at positions 925 to 1382 of the family's 1533-position model. Lineage: Bacteria; Pseudomonadati; Thermodesulfobacteriota; Desulfobulbia; Desulfobulbales; Desulfobulbaceae. The record is from RNAcentral.